Molecule: ribosomal RNA, 484 nt
Filed under: uncultured bacterium
Lineage: Bacteria
Description: partial 16S ribosomal RNA
Rfam family: Bacterial small subunit ribosomal RNA
Source: RNAcentral
AUUGAACGCUGGCGGCAUGCUUUACACAUGCAAGUCGAACGGCAGCGCGGGCUUCGGCCUGGCGGUGAGUGGCGAACGGGUGAGUAAUGCAUCGGAACGUGCCCAGUAGUGGGGGAUAGCCCGGCGAAAGCCGGAUUAAUACCGCAUACGACCUGAGGGUGAAAGCGGGGGACCGAAAGGCCUCGCGCUAUUGGAGCGGCCGAUGUCGGAUUAGCUAGUUGGUGGGGUAAAGGCUUACCAAGGCGACGAUCCGUAGCUGGUCUGAGAGGACGACCAGCCACACUGGGACUGAGACACGGCCCAGACUCCUACGGGAGGCAGCAGUGGGGAAUUUUGGACAAUGGGGGCAACCCUGAUCCAGCCAUGCCGCGUGCGGGAAGAAGGCCUUCGGGUUGUAAACCGCUUUUGUUCGGGAAGAAAUCCUCUGGGCUAAUACCCCGGGGAGAUGACGGUACCGGAAGAAUAAGCACCGGCUAACUACGUG